Propithecus coquereli (Coquerel's sifaka) is the source of this 104-nucleotide small nucleolar RNA. The record is from Ensembl. Lineage: Eukaryota; Metazoa; Chordata; Mammalia; Primates; Indriidae.
AUCCUUUUGUAGUUCAUAAGCAUGAUGAUUGGGUUUUCACAAAUAUGUGUGAGAUGUGCCUCCCUCAAACCCUGUUACAACGUCAGCAUAUUACUUCUCUGAUG